This 464-nucleotide ribosomal RNA is filed under the name uncultured bacterium. Its description in RNAcentral is "partial 16S ribosomal RNA". It matches the Rfam family "Bacterial small subunit ribosomal RNA", at positions 355 to 813 of the family's 1533-position model. The record is from RNAcentral.
UGGGGAAUUUUGGACAAUGGGCGCAAGCCUAUCCAGCCAUGCCGCGUGCGGGAAGAAGGCCUUCGGGUUGUAAACCGCUUUUGUCAGGGAAGAAAUCUUCUGAGUUAAUACCUCGGGAGGAUGACGGUGCCUGAAGAAUAAGCACCGGCUAACUACGUGCCAGCAGCCGCGGUAAUACGUAGGGUGCAAGCGUUAAUCGGAAUUACUGGGCGUAAAGCGUGCGCAGGCGGUUUUGUAAGACAGAGGUGAAAUCCCCGGCUCAACCUGGGAACUGCCUUUGUGACUGCAAGGCUUGAGUGCGGCAGAGGGGGAUGGAAUUCCGCGUGUAGCAGUGAAAUGCGUAGAUAUGCGGAGGAACACCGAUGGCGAAGGCAAUCCCCUGGGCCUGCACUGACGCUCAUGCACGAAAGCGUGGGGAGCAAACAGGAUUAGAUACCCUGGUAGUCCACGCCCUAAACGAUGUC